RNAcentral lists this ribosomal RNA (465 nucleotides) under uncultured bacterium. RNAcentral describes it as "partial 16S ribosomal RNA". It matches the Rfam family "Bacterial small subunit ribosomal RNA", at positions 28 to 507 of the family's 1533-position model. The record is from RNAcentral.
GACGAACGCUGGCGGCGUGCUUAACACAUGCAAGUCGAACGGAAAGGCCCUGCUUGCAGGGUACUCGAGUGUCGAACGGGUGAGUAACACGUGGGUGAUCUGCCCUGCACUUCGGGAUAAGCCUGGGAAACUGGGUCUAAUACCGGAUAGGAGCCAUUUUUAGUGUGAUGGUUGGAAAGUUUUUUCGGUGUAGGAUGAGCUCGCGGCCUAUCAGCUUGUUGGUGGGGUAAUGGCCUACCAAGGCGGCGGCGGGUAGCCGGCCUGGGAGGGUGGACGGCCACAUUGGGACUGGGAUACGGCCCAGACGCCUACGGGGGGCAGCAGGGGGGGAUAUUGCACAAUGGGCGCGAGCCUGAUGCAGCGACGCCGGGUGGGGGGUGACGGCCUUCGGGUUGUAAACUCCUUUCGCUAGGGACGAAGCUGUUUGUGACGGUACCUAGAUAAGAAGCACCGGCUAACUACGUG